Molecule: ribosomal RNA, 501 nt
Filed under: uncultured Glomeromycotina
Lineage: Eukaryota; Fungi; Glomeromycota
Description: partial small subunit ribosomal RNA
Rfam family: Eukaryotic small subunit ribosomal RNA
Source: RNAcentral
CCAAUAGCGUAUAUUAAAGUUGUUGCAGUUAAAAAGCUCGUAGUUGAACCUUAGGCCCGUGCGGGUGGUCCGUCCUCUGGGCGAGCACUGCCUCGUCGCGGGUCUCACCUUCUGGCGAGCGUGGAUGCCAUUCACUUGGUGUCUGCGGGAACCAGGACCUUUACCUUGAAAAAAUUAGAGUGCUCAAAGCGGGCUCGUACGCUUGAAUACAUUAGCAUGGAAUAAUGAAAUAGGACGACGGUUCUAUUUUGUUGGUUUCCGGGACAGUCGUAAUGAUUAAUAGGGAUAGUUGGGGGCAUUCGUAUUCAAUUGUCAGAGGUGAAAUUCUUGGAUUUAUUGAAGACGGACUACUGCGAAAGCAUUUGCCAAGGAUGUUUUCAUUAAUCAAGAACGAAAGUUGGGGGAUCGAAGACGAUCAGAUACCGUCGUAGUCUCAACCAUAAACUAUGCCGACUGGGAAUCGGGCGAUGUUAUUUUUCGUGACUCGCUCGGCGCCCCGAG